GGGGCUGUAGCUCAGUGGCAGAGCACUUGCCUAGCAUGUGUGAAGCCCUGGGUUCGAUCCUCAGCACCUCA
This 71-nucleotide transfer RNA is filed under the name Marmota monax (woodchuck). It matches the Rfam family "tRNA". From Rfam's summary of the family: Transfer RNA (tRNA) molecules are approximately 80 nucleotides in length. Their secondary structure includes four short double-helical elements and three loops (D, anti-codon, and T loops). Further hydrogen bonds mediate the characteristic L-shaped molecular structure. tRNAs have two regions of fundamental functional importance: the anti-codon, which is responsible for specific mRNA codon recognition, and the 3' end, to which the tRNAs corresponding amino acid is attached (by aminoacyl-tRNA synthetases). tRNAs cope with the degeneracy of the genetic code in two manners: having more than one tRNA (with a specific anti-codon) for a particular amino acid; and 'wobble' base-pairing, i.e. permitting non-standard base-pairing at the 3rd anti-codon position. Lineage: Eukaryota; Metazoa; Chordata; Mammalia; Rodentia; Sciuridae. The record is from Rfam by way of RNAcentral.